UUAGCCUGAGCAGCAGCUAUCAAAUUUUUCAUGGGUGUCAAAUCAAGAGAAGCCCCCUGAUCCUUUGGAGUUCUGUCAACGCAAACUUCUUUACCGCCAUCCUGCAUGUCUCUAUCAUGACUACCGUCAUUAGAACUAGAGUUGGCAGACUUUGUCAUUCGAGAUGAGUUGCCUGUCAUGGAACCAGUGAUUCGAGGUGAUAGAACUGUAGUAGGUACACUUG
This 223-nucleotide unclassified non-coding RNA is filed under the name Hevea brasiliensis (rubber tree). The record is from RNAcentral. Lineage: Eukaryota; Viridiplantae; Streptophyta; Magnoliopsida; Malpighiales; Euphorbiaceae.